Long non-coding RNA from Oncorhynchus keta (chum salmon), 1100 nucleotides. RefSeq lists it as uncharacterized. Lineage: Eukaryota; Metazoa; Chordata; Actinopteri; Salmoniformes; Salmonidae. The record is from RefSeq and is a predicted model, not a curated record. The transcript is spliced from 4 exons.
GUUUGAGCUGACAAGCGCGAGAGCUGCUGCUACUUCAUCUGAAACAGCAAAUGCAAAAGAAAGGAAGGCUUUGUCGUUCACGCGUAGCCUACUGCCCAACGUAAAGAAAUAAUAGUAGAUCAACAUUUUAAGGCUAAAAAUGUUGAUCUGUCGCAUCCGACUCAUUGCUUUUUUUAAAUGUUUUUUUUUUUUAAAUCCUAGGGCCUACUGGUCGUAUGAAUUUGGGAUCUAUCGUCCCACAACUGUCCCAGAGUCUGUUUGGCAUAGGCUAUUUCUUUCUCGACAAGUUGACCAAUAGAAUAGGUCCAUUUUUCUCCUAUGGGGAAUAGCAGAAACCCCAAACAGCAUAGGCUAGUGAUUUUGCUAUUCGUUACUCGUCUUGUUGGCUGAGGAAAAGUACAUGUGGACAGUUAUUCUGACAUCUUCAAAGUGCACAUCAAAGUGACAAUUAGGGUAAGAAGGAAAACACAUCGUUGCAUCCUGACUUGCAUGUUCUGUUAAUAUAAAUGACCGUAAUCUAAAUGUGAUUUAUGUCAUUCUGAGCACCGUGGGUGGACGCCCUAAUCAGGUUACGCACCCAAUGCAUAUUGGUCCGGUUAAUGUCCGGAGGCGCCACAUUUUCCUAACAGAAACCCUGACACACAUACAUAUAAAUGCACGAUGCCGCCAGUAUGAUUGUGUGUGAUUAAUGAGUAGACAGUGUGAAGCCGUCAGCCACCUCGGUACCAUGGCGACAGACCCACCCAGACGCCUCAACAACGCAACGGCCGACAGAAGACAGCAAGGAGGGAGAGGACCACCACAGAGCAUUACCAAGGAACUGCCAAAACCUUGAAAAGGGAUGGGAGAACUGUGGAUGGGGCAUCGUCAUUAAAGCUAAUGAAACAUGGGACCAACACAUGUUCGGUACAGACGAAUGGUCCACGAGAGCCGCCACUGAAGUAAUAUCUACCGUGACCCUUUACAGACAUAGAACGCAGCUACAGUAAAAUGACAAUACUGACAAUUGAUAACUUUACAGACAAUUUAAAAAAAAGUGCUGCAUCAGAAGAGUCUGUGCCGUUUGACAGUCGAAUUCUGCUCUUGUAUAUAAUGUUCUA